Brassica napus (rape) is the source of this 1549-nucleotide RNA transcript. RefSeq lists it as uncharacterized. Lineage: Eukaryota; Viridiplantae; Streptophyta; Magnoliopsida; Brassicales; Brassicaceae. The transcript has 5 exons. The record is from RefSeq and is a predicted model, not a curated record.
UCUCCUUGCGUUCCCAGAGGAACAUACUGGAGCUUCGGGUAUAAAUACCCCCUCAUCCAGAGAUGAAGAUUACAGCUUCUCUGAGAAUCUUUAGAAUACUCUGUUCAACUUUCCGGUAAUUACAAUGGGGAAUCCCCAAACCCUUCUUGCCGAUUUGAGAGCUGGCCGGUGCUCCAACACUGCAGAGGUUAGGUUGCUGGAGGCUAGAAAUGUGAGGAAAGGCAGUGAGCUAAUGAGUCUUGACAUGCUCUUUGUCGAUGAGAAUUCGACUCUGACCCAAGGAUCUAUUAGUGCGAACCGUCAACUUAGGUUCAGGGAACGUCUCAAAGGGUCUCUCUACACGUUAACUGGUUUUGACGUCACACGCAGCAGCCACAAUUUUCGGUUGUCUGAUGCUUCCUUCUCGAUUCGGUUCAAUGAUGGAACCUCUCUUGAGAAGAAGACGGAGUCUGUUAGGCCCAUACCUUUGGAACUUUUCAGAUUCAUGCCAUAUAGUCAGUUGCUUGAGCUGGCGACCACUGGCAAACAACUCCUUCAUAUGUAUCUUCAGUCUGAGUAGUUUUAAUGGUUUUGUGAUAUCAUGUGUUAGCGUAAUCACAUAAGUUCUUUAUCAGACAUACUUGGUGAGUUGAAUGCAAUCUGCGUCUUCAAAGUGGUGAAAGUGUUAGUAUGUUUGAUUCGAUGGCUCUUGCAUUUCAUACCAAAUUUGACAGCUAUGGGAAAGAGCCAAAAGUUAUAAUUGCCACGAGCGUGAAUCCUAAGAUAGUUGGUGGUGACUUAUUAUGUAACAGACCAAGAAAGCUUCAACAGUGCCAAGCAAUGGCUAAACCAAAUCGGCCGCUACACCAGUGAGAAUGUGAACAAGCUACUGGUUAGGAACAAUUGUGAUCUCACUUCACAGAAAGUUGUAUCCGCUGAAACAACCAAGAUGAACGUGGGAUCCUAUUCUUGGAGUCACACGCCAAGAAUGCUACCAAUGUCGAAGAAUGCUACCGUGUUUGUCGCAUUAGACGGUGAAAUGACGAAGCUGAUUAGUGUCCAUGCUGCAGAGGUCCCACAAAUUAUAUUUGUCAGAAAGAAACAGAUGUGAUCCAAUUUCUUAUAAAUAAAGGUUCUCUUAAAGCUUGCUCAUCAACUCAUCUUUGUUGAAGUAAUCAAAACCUAGGUACAGCAACGUGCUUAAUCCAUCGAAGAUUGCUUCAUAAAAAAGGCCCGAUAAAGACAAGACGACCAAAAGACCACUGAUUUUACAUUGGUAGGACGCCACAUUUAAGAUAUUUUCUUAACUACUCUUAAGUUUUAGUUAUAAUGAAAGCCAGCUGUUUCAUAAACACUCUGGCAGCCACCCAACUUCAGAGUUUACGAAUAGUUCAGUUUCUUAAACAGAGCCCAACGAUGAAGUUCAUGUUGCUGGAGAUUGCUGUAAAACAAAUGAAUGAUUAGAAACAUAAUCACACAUGUAAAAAGCUACCAAAGCAUUUUUUACAUGCAAUGAAAUAAAAGAUAAUAAUAUGGCCUUAGUUGUUUGAGUGUUUUUUUUUAUUUGGAA